RNAcentral lists this unclassified non-coding RNA (196 nucleotides) under uncultured Russula. RNAcentral describes it as "sequence contains ITS1". Lineage: Eukaryota; Fungi; Basidiomycota; Agaricomycetes; Russulales; Russulaceae. The record is from RNAcentral.
UCGUAACAAAAGAGGUGCGAGGGCUGUCGCUGACCCCCCAAAGGUCGUGCACGCCCGAGUGCUUCCAUACAAUCCAUCUCACCCCUUUGUGCAUCGCCGCGUGGGUUCCCUCCUUUGCGGGGAAGGGCCUGCGUUUUAUCAUAAAACUUGAUACAGUGUAGAAUGUUUUUACUUUUGCGGUCAUACGCAAUCAAUA